GUUUUGCUAACCACGCCGAGUCAGCGUUAGAGCCUGAGGAAAAAGUAAAGAAAAUCUGUAAAAUAGCGCUAUUGGAAACCAGAACGAGGCUGAAAGCUGAAGGCUGUGGUCGAUCGUUGGACGCUUUCUUCCCGUUUGCAGUUGCGGCCCGGUGGGAAACGAACCGGCAGAUGGUUGGAUCUACUUCUCUUUCCUCCACACUGACUCAGCUGGACCAGACUGACCUUCUGAUGUUCA
Xiphophorus maculatus (southern platyfish) is the source of this 237-nucleotide long non-coding RNA. RefSeq lists it as uncharacterized. The transcript has 3 exons. Lineage: Eukaryota; Metazoa; Chordata; Actinopteri; Cyprinodontiformes; Poeciliidae. The record is from RefSeq and is a predicted model, not a curated record.